Long non-coding RNA from Gasterosteus aculeatus aculeatus (three-spined stickleback), 779 nucleotides. Lineage: Eukaryota; Metazoa; Chordata; Actinopteri; Perciformes; Gasterosteidae. The record is from Ensembl.
UGGGUUAGUAAUACAAGGCUAUGGGUUAGUAAUACAAGGCUAUGGGUUAGUAAUAUAAGGCUAUGGGUUAGUAAUAUAAGGCUAUGGGUUAGUAAUAUAAGGCUAUGGGUUAGUAAUAUAAGGCUAUGGGUUAGUAAUAUAAGGCUAUGGGUUAGUAGUAUAAUGCUAUGGAUUAGUAGUAUAAGGCUAUGGGUUAGUAGUAUAAGGCUAUGGGUUAGUAGUAUAAGGCUAUGGGUUAGUAAUAUAAGGCUAUGGGUUAGUAGUAUAAGGCUGUGGGUUAGUAAUAUAAGGCUAUGGGUUAGUUUAAAAAUAAAGGAAAACAAGUUAAAGUUACAGACAAAGUGCACCAGCGAACACAAAGAUAUUGCGGACACGUAUGGAGAAUGUCACACACCAGCCCGACCUGCAUUUCUUCUUUUCAAUUUCAACUUUCUACCUUUUUCUCAAUGUCUGCUAAGUUUACAAAAUGUUGAUAAUAAAGUAAUUAUUUGAGUAAUUCCAAUUGUUCACUAAUAUUAAAAGAAGUUAAAUAAAAUUCAAAUAAGCUGCAACCAUUGUUAUGUCGGUAAUUUCUUGAUUAAGUGCCGUUUGUUGUUGCGCGUGAUGAAGAAGUGUCCAUCCUGUGGACGUGGGCUUUGAGCUGAACAGCAACUCUUUUAAUCUGGAUAUUAACUAUGUAUUCAGUAGAGUUUUGAACUUAAUCAGACAAAUAUUGUAAAUGUUUUUUUUAUCUGUAUUGACGAAUUAGAUUCCAAAUUAAAAUGCGAAAUAAAACAGAA